This 442-nucleotide ribosomal RNA is filed under the name uncultured Bacillota bacterium. Its description in RNAcentral is "bacterial SSU rRNA". It matches the Rfam family "Bacterial small subunit ribosomal RNA", at positions 917 to 1359 of the family's 1533-position model. Lineage: Bacteria; Bacillati; Bacillota. The record is from RNAcentral.
GGGCCCGCACAAGCAGUGGAGUAUGUGGUUUAAUUCGAAGCAACGCGAAAACCUUACCAGGUCUUGACAUCCUAGAAAUCUUGCAGAGAUGCGAGAGUGCCUUUCGGGGAAUCUAGAGACAGGUGGUGCAUGGUUGUCGUCAGCUCGUGUCGUGAGAUGUUGGGUUAAGUCCCGCAACGAGCGCAACCCUUGUUAUUAGUUGCUACAUUUAGUUGAGCACUCUAAUGAGACUGCCGUUGACAAAACGGAGGAAGGUGGGGACGAUGUCAAAUCAUCAUGCCCCUUAUGACCUGGGCUACACACGUACUACAAUGACCGUUAACAAAGGGACGCAAUAUCGUGAGGUGGAGCCAACCCCUAAAAGACGGUCUCAGUUCAGAUUGUAGGCUGCAACUCGCCUACAUGAAGUCGGAAUUGCUAGUAAUCGCGGAUCAGCAUGCCG